RNAcentral lists this ribosomal RNA (234 nucleotides) under uncultured bacterium. RNAcentral describes it as "partial 16S ribosomal RNA". It matches the Rfam family "Bacterial small subunit ribosomal RNA", at positions 333 to 584 of the family's 1533-position model. The record is from RNAcentral.
UGUUUCCUACGGGGGGCCGCCGUGGGGGAUAUUGCACAAUGGGGGGCACCCUGAUGCAGCGACGCCGCGUGAGCGAAGAAGUACCUCGGUAUGUAAAGCUCUAUCAGCAGGGAAGAAAAUGACGGUACCUGACUAAGAAGCCCCGGCUAAAUACGUGCCAGCAGCCGCGGUAAUACGUAUGGGGCAAGCGUUAUCCGGAUUUACUGGGUGUAAAGGGAGCGCAGGCGGCCUGCC